RNAcentral lists this ribosomal RNA (529 nucleotides) under uncultured bacterium. RNAcentral's name for it is "bacterial SSU rRNA". It matches the Rfam family "Bacterial small subunit ribosomal RNA", at positions 980 to 1509 of the family's 1533-position model. The record is from RNAcentral.
CUUGACGUCCAGCGAACUUGGCAGAGAUGCCUUGGUGCCUUCGGGAACGCUGAGACAGGUGCUGCAUGGCUGUCGUCAGCUCGUGUUGUGAAAUGUUGGGUUAAGUCCCGCAACGAGCGCAACCCUUAUCCUUUGUUGCCAGCGAUUCGGUCGGGAACUCAAAGGAGACUGCCGGUGAUAAACCGGAGGAAGGUGGGGAUGACGUCAAGUCAUCAUGGCCCUUACGAGUAGGGCUACACACGUGCUACAAUGGCGCAUACAAAGAGAAGCGACCUCGCGAGAGCAAGCGGACCUCAUAAAGUGCGUCGUAGUCCGGAUCGGAGUCUGCAACUCGACUCCGCGAAGUCGGAAUCGCUAGUAAUCGUGGAUCAGAAUGCCACGGUGAAUACGUUCCCGGGCCUUGUACACACCGCCCGUCACACCAUGGGAGUGGGUUGCAAAAGAAGUAGGUAGCUUAACCUUCGGGAGGGCGCUUACCACUUUGUGAUUCAUGACUGGGGUGAAGUCGUAACAAGGUAAGCGUAGCGAG